This 604-nucleotide ribosomal RNA is filed under the name uncultured bacterium. RNAcentral's name for it is "bacterial SSU rRNA". The stretch from base 1 to 516 matches the Rfam family "Bacterial small subunit ribosomal RNA", at positions 338 to 873 of the family's 1533-position model. The record is from RNAcentral.
CCUACGGGAGGCAGCAGUGGGGAAUCUUGCGCAAUGGGCGAAAGCCUGACGCAGCCAUGCCGCGUGAAUGAUGAAGGUCUUAGGAUUGUAAAAUUCUUUCACCGGGGACGAUAAUGACGGUACCCGGAGAAGAAGCCCCGGCUAACUUCGUGCCAGCAGCCGCGGUAAUACGAAGGGGGCUAGCGUUGCUCGGAAUUACUGGGCGUAAAGGGAGCGUAGGCGGAUAGUUUAGUCAGAGGUGAAAGCCCAGGGCUCAACCUUGGAAUUGCCUUUGAUACUGGCUAUCUUGAGUAUGGGAGAGGUUAGCGGAACUCCGAGUGUAGAGGUGAAAUUCGUAGAUAUUCGGAAGAACACCAGUGGCGAAGGCGGCUAACUGGCCCAUUACUGACGCUGAGGCUCGAAAGCGUGGGGAGCAAACAGGAUUAGAUACCCUGGUAGUCCACGCCGUAAACGAUGAGUGCUAGUUGUCGGCAUGCAUGCAUGUCGGUGACGCAGCUACGCAUAAGACACUCCGCCGUCGGGAGGUACGGUCGCGAGAAUUAAACUACGAAGGAAGUUAGUACGGCGUGAGACGUGCCGACGGACGACGACGAGGGAGGUUAGG